Molecule: ribosomal RNA, 384 nt
Filed under: Triticum aestivum (bread wheat)
Lineage: Eukaryota; Viridiplantae; Streptophyta; Magnoliopsida; Poales; Poaceae
Description: partial small subunit ribosomal RNA
Source: RNAcentral
AUGGGCAACACCUUCCCGCUUGACCAUGAAUUACUGGAGGACUACGACCUUGAGGAAGAAGAUGAAGUGGACAUCGAUGGAGAGCCUUUGUUUGAUUACGAGCUCUCAACCCAAGCCGGCGCAAACAAGAAGCGCAAAAGCAAGCGGACAAAGGCAUACAGGCAGCCGGAGGACAAGCUCCUUUGUGAAUGUUGGAGGGACAUUGGACAAGACCCCAAGGACGGUGCUGAACAAAAGGCAUCAACCUUUUGGCUAUGAGUUCAUCAUGAAUUUCAUGAAUGCGAUAAGUUCACGCCGUAUCAAAUGGAGAGCAAGCGCGGGUGGGUGUCCCUCUCGAAAUGUUGGAAGGUGAUACAACAAGAGUGCAACAAGUUUUGUCCAUGA